RNAcentral lists this ribosomal RNA (428 nucleotides) under Actinomycetes bacterium. RNAcentral's name for it is "Actinobacteria bacterium partial 16S ribosomal RNA". It matches the Rfam family "Bacterial small subunit ribosomal RNA", at positions 355 to 776 of the family's 1533-position model. Lineage: Bacteria; Bacillati; Actinomycetota; Actinomycetes. The record is from RNAcentral.
UAGGGAAUCUUCCGCAAUGGGCGAAAGCCUGACGGAGCAACGCCGCGUGAGUGAUGAAGGUCUUCGGAUCGUAAAACUCUGUUAUUAGGGAAGAACAAAUGUGUAAGUAACUAUGCACGUCUUGACGGUACCUAAUCAGAAAGCCACGGCUAACUACGUGCCAGCAGCCGCGGUAAUACGUAGGUGGCAAGCGUUAUCCGGAAUUAUUGGGCGUAAAGCGCGCGUAGGCGGUUUUUUAAGUCUGAUGUGAAAGCCCACGGCUCAACCGUGGGGGGUCAUUGGAAACUGGAAAACUGGAGUGCAGAAGAGGAAAGUGGAAUUCCAUGUGUAGCGGUGAAAUGCGCAGAGAUAUGGAGGAACACAGUGGCGAAGGCGACUUUCUGGUCUGUAACUGACGCUGAUGUGCGAAAGCGUGGGGAUCAAACAGG